UUGCCCGCGUGCGUGAGGUACUCCCCUGCUGCUCCGACUGUCCAAUCCAUCUCCCGAGGGCUGCUCAUCAGGAGCUCUCUGCCCUUUCCAGCUCGGAUCUCGCUUAUUUCAGUUUGAGACCCGAAUCACUGCCCGGACGGCCGUAUAACUUAUAGUGUGAGCCGUAUCCGAACUCCGAACACGGGCUGGAGUGCCGCUCCACGCAAUGACGUCUGCUAUCGAUGACGUCACAAGAUUAAUCACUUGGAGCGCAUUGGGAUAAUGUGAAUCACUGCAAGUCUACUGCGUCACAUCGCCCGUUUGGUGUUCUAUUCUGGGACCGGCCAGUACGGUGGCAAUGUGUCAGUGGUUUCCCUGAACGUGCAACGACAGCGUCAUAGCGCUUACCGGCGAGCGACAUUCAGUAGCCAGCCGAUGU
Amphibalanus amphitrite is the source of this 418-nucleotide long non-coding RNA. RefSeq lists it as uncharacterized. The record is from RefSeq and is a predicted model, not a curated record. The transcript is spliced from 3 exons. NCBI's taxonomy places the organism in Eukaryota, Metazoa, Arthropoda, Thecostraca, Balanomorpha, Balanidae.